UCAAGAGAAUUUAAUAGGAGAACCUCAUCAGCUGUAAUGAUGCAUCGAAUCUGCUCAAGAUUUACAACAAUUGCCUUCUCCCUGCCAAGGAUUGUUGACGGAUAAACAAACAAUGGAUCUAAUAAACGUAGAUCACGAGCUGGAAGGUCACAACGGCGCAUCAUAGUGAACUUGUCAACCUCAAUGACCUGGGCGGAUAAACAAACAACGGAUCUAAUAAGCGUAGAUCACGAGCUGGAAGGUCACAACGACGCAUCAUAGUGAACUUGUCAACCUCAAUGACCUGGGAGUUGCCAGAUGUAUCAACCCGAAUCCAUGAUCGAAGUCCUUGACCUCGCUUUUUAAGGCCCAAGACAUCUAUACCUUGAAAAGGUUGAC
This 378-nucleotide long non-coding RNA is filed under the name Nicotiana benthamiana. RNAcentral's name for it is "long non-coding RNA (NBEN_LNC015251)". The record is from RNAcentral. Lineage: Eukaryota; Viridiplantae; Streptophyta; Magnoliopsida; Solanales; Solanaceae.